CAGCCGUAAACAAUGUGCGUUAGGUGUGUCGGUAACCACGCGUUACUGAUGCGCCGAAGAGAAAUCGUGAAACGCACCACCUGGGAAGUACGGUCGCAAGGCUGAAACUUAAAGGAAUUGGCGGGGGAGCACCACAACAGGUGGAGCCUGCGGUUUAAUUGGAUUCAACGCCGGACAUCUCACCGGAUAAGACAGCUGAAUGAUUGUCAAUCUGAAGGUUUUACAUGACUAGCUGAGAGGAGGUGCAUGGCGUAGACGUCU
This 261-nucleotide ribosomal RNA is filed under the name uncultured archaeon. RNAcentral's name for it is "partial 16S ribosomal RNA". It matches the Rfam family "Archaeal small subunit ribosomal RNA", at positions 748 to 1009 of the family's 1478-position model. The record is from RNAcentral.